RNAcentral lists this ribosomal RNA (492 nucleotides) under uncultured bacterium. RNAcentral describes it as "partial 16S ribosomal RNA". It matches the Rfam family "Bacterial small subunit ribosomal RNA", at positions 29 to 507 of the family's 1533-position model. The record is from RNAcentral.
AGUGAACGCUGGCGGUAGGCCUAACACAUGCAAGUCGAACGGCAGCACAGUAAGAGCUUGCUCUUACGGGUGGCGAGUGGCGGACGGGUGAGGAAUACAUCGGAAUCUACUUUUUCGUGGGGGAUAACGUAGGGAAACUUACGCUAAUACCGCAUACGACCUACGGGUGAAAGCAGGGGAUCUUCGGACCUUGCGCGAUUGAAUGAGCCGAUGUCGGAUUAGCUAGUUGGCGGGGUAAAGGCCCACCAAGGCGGCGAUCCGUAGCUGGUCUGAGAGGAUGGUAGGCCACACUGGAACUGGAACACGGUCCAGACGCCUGCGGGAGGCAGCAGUGGGGAAUAUUGGACAAUGGGGGCAAGCCUGGUCCAGCCAUACCGCGUGGGUGAAGAAGGCCUUCGGGUUGUAAAGCCCUUUUGUUGGGAAAGAAAAGCAGCAGGUUAAUACCCCGCUGUUCUGACGGUACCCAAAGAAUAAGCACCGGCUAACUUCGUG